RNAcentral lists this ribosomal RNA (118 nucleotides) under Petromyzon marinus (sea lamprey). Lineage: Eukaryota; Metazoa; Chordata; Hyperoartia; Petromyzontiformes; Petromyzontidae. The record is from RNAcentral.
GCCUACGACCAUAUCACCCAGAAUGCGCACGAUCUCGUCUGAUCUCGGAAGCUAAGCAGGGUCGAGCUUGGAUAGUACUUGGAUAGAGACUGCCUGGGAAUACCAGGUGUUGUAGGCA